RNAcentral lists this RNase P RNA (367 nucleotides) under Sphingorhabdus pulchriflava. Its description in RNAcentral is "Bacterial RNase P class A". It matches the Rfam family "Bacterial RNase P class A". From Rfam's summary of the family: Ribonuclease P (RNase P) is a ubiquitous endoribonuclease, found in archaea, bacteria and eukarya as well as chloroplasts and mitochondria. Its best characterised activity is the generation of mature 5'-ends of tRNAs by cleaving the 5'-leader elements of precursor-tRNAs. Cellular RNase Ps are ribonucleoproteins. Lineage: Bacteria; Pseudomonadati; Pseudomonadota; Alphaproteobacteria; Sphingomonadales; Sphingorhabdaceae. The record is from Rfam by way of RNAcentral.
CCAGAGGGUCGGGCGACCGCCGGUACUUCGCUUGCGAGGUGCGGGAGGAAAGUCCGGGCUCCAGCGAGGAACGGUGCCGGAUAACUUCCGGCUGGGGCAACCCAAGGGAAAGUGCCACAGAAAGCAUACCGCCGCGGCUUCGGCCGGGUAAGGGCGAAAGGGUGCGGCAAGAGCGCACCGCGCGGGCGGCAACGUCAGCGGCACGGCAAACCCCACCGGGAGCAAAAUCGAAUAGGGGCGGCACAUGGCAUCCUCCUGCCAGUCGCCCGGGUUGGUUGCUUGACCCUUGUCGCAAGACACGGGCUAGAGGAAUGGUCGCCUAUCCCUUCGGGGUGGACAGAACCCGGCUUACAGACCCUCUGGCACU